GACGAACGCUGGCGGCGUGCUUAACACAUGCAAGUCGAACGAAGAGCGACGGAAGCUUGCUUCUAUCAAUCUUAGUGGCGAACGGGUGAGUAACGCGUAAUCAACCUGCCCUUCAGAGGGGGACAACAGUUGGAAACGACUGCUAAUACCGCAUACGAUCUAACCUCGGCAUCGAGGAUAGAUGAAAGGUGGCCUCUACAUGUAAGCUAUCACUGAAGGGGGGGAUUGCGUCUGAUUAGCUAGUUGGAGGGGUAACGGCCCACCAAGGCGAUGAUCAGUAGCCGGUCUGAGAGGAUGAACGGCCACAUUGGGACUGAGACACGGCCCAGACCCCUACGGGAGGCAGCAGUGGGGAAUCUUCCGCAAUGGACGAAAGUCUGACGGAGCAACGCCGCGUGAGUGAUGACGGCCUUCGGGUUGCAAAGCUCUGUUAAUCGGGACGAAAGGCCUUCUUGCGAAUAGUGAGAAGGAUUGACGGUACCGGAAUAGAAAGCCACGGCUAACUACGUG
RNAcentral lists this ribosomal RNA (510 nucleotides) under uncultured bacterium. RNAcentral describes it as "partial 16S ribosomal RNA". It matches the Rfam family "Bacterial small subunit ribosomal RNA", at positions 28 to 507 of the family's 1533-position model. The record is from RNAcentral.